UGGGGAAUAUUGCACAAUGGGCGAAAGCCUGAUGCAGCGACGCCGCGUGAGGGAUGACUGCCUUCGGGUUGUAAACCUCUUUCAGCAGGGACGAAGCGAAAGUGACGGUACCUGCAGAAGAAGCACCGGCCAACUACGUGCCAGCAGCCGCGGUAAUACGUAGGGUGCAAGCGUUGUCCGGAAUUAUUGGGCGUAAAGAGCUCGUAGGCGGUUUGUCGCGUCGGCUGUGAAAACCUGGGGCUCAACCCCGGGCCUGCAGCCGAUACGGGCAAACUAGAAUUCGGUAGGGGAGACUGGAAUUCCUGGUGUAGCGGUGAAAUGCGCAGAUAUCAGGAGGAACACCGGUGGCGAAGGCGGGUCUCUGGGCCGAUAUUGACGCUGAGGAGCGAAAGCGUGGGGAGCAAACAG
RNAcentral lists this ribosomal RNA (408 nucleotides) under uncultured bacterium. Its description in RNAcentral is "bacterial SSU rRNA". It matches the Rfam family "Bacterial small subunit ribosomal RNA", at positions 355 to 775 of the family's 1533-position model. The record is from RNAcentral.